Molecule: transfer RNA, 73 nt
Filed under: Sphaerodactylus townsendi
Lineage: Eukaryota; Metazoa; Chordata; Lepidosauria; Squamata; Sphaerodactylidae
Description: tRNA-Ala
Rfam family: tRNA (bases 9-65)
About the family: Transfer RNA (tRNA) molecules are approximately 80 nucleotides in length. Their secondary structure includes four short double-helical elements and three loops (D, anti-codon, and T loops).
Source: RNAcentral
GGAGGCCAUGGCUCAGUGGUAAAGUAUCUGUUCUGCACACAGAAGGUUCCAGAUUCAAUUCCUGGCAUCUCUG